GAUGAACGCUGGCGGCGUGCCUAAUACAUGCAAGUCGAGCGAACAGACGAGGAGCUUGCUCCUCUGACGUUAGCGGCGGACGGGUGAGUAACACGUGGAUAACCUACCUAUAAGACUGGGAUAACUUCGGGAAACCGGAGAUAAUACCGGAUAAUAUAUUGAACCGCAUGGUUCAAUAGUGAAAGACGGUUUUGCUGUCACUUAUAGAUGGAUCCGCGCCGCAUUAGCUAGUUGGUAAGGUAACGGCUUACCAAGGCAACGAUGCGUAGCCGACCUGAGAGGGUGAUCGGCCACACUUGAACUGAGACCCGGUCCAGACUCCGACGGGAGGCAGCAGCAGGGAAUCUUCCGCAAUGGGCGAAAGCCUGACGGAGCAACUCCGCGUGAGUGAUGAAGGUUUUCGGAUCGUAUGACCCUGUUAUUAGGGAAGAACAAAUGUGUAAGUAACUAUGCACGUCUUGACGGUACCUAAUCAGAAAGCAACGGCUAACUACGUG
This 497-nucleotide ribosomal RNA is filed under the name uncultured bacterium. RNAcentral's name for it is "partial 16S ribosomal RNA". It matches the Rfam family "Bacterial small subunit ribosomal RNA", at positions 28 to 507 of the family's 1533-position model. The record is from RNAcentral.